This 48-nucleotide non-coding RNA is filed under the name Schistosoma curassoni. Lineage: Eukaryota; Metazoa; Platyhelminthes; Trematoda; Strigeidida; Schistosomatidae. The record is from RNAcentral.
AUCCAACUGACGAGUUCCGAAUAGGACGAAACACACGUCUCACUGGAU